This 450-nucleotide ribosomal RNA is filed under the name uncultured bacterium. RNAcentral's name for it is "bacterial SSU rRNA". It matches the Rfam family "Bacterial small subunit ribosomal RNA", at positions 354 to 796 of the family's 1533-position model. The record is from RNAcentral.
GUGGGGAAUAUUGGACAAUGGGCGAAAGCCUGAUCCAGCCAUGCCGCGUGUGUGAAGAAGGUCUUCGGAUUGUAAAGCACUUUAAGUUGGGAGGAAGGGCAGUAAGUUAAUACCUUGCUGUUUUGACGUUACAGACAGAAUAAGCACCGGCUAACUUCGUGCCAGCAGCCGCGGUAAUACGAAGGGUGCAAGCGUUAAUCGGAAUUACUGGGCGUAAAGCGCGCGUAGGUGGUUUUGUAAGUUGGAGGUGAAAUCCCCGGGCUCAACCUGGGAACUGCCUCCAAAACUGCAUGACUAGAGUACGGUAGAGGGUAGUGGAAUUUCCUGUGUAGCGGUGAAAUGCGUAGAUAUAGGAAGGAACACCAGUGGCGAAGGCGACUACCUGGACUGAUACUGACACUGAGGUGCGAAAGCGUGGGGAGCAAACAGGAUUAGAUACCCGGGUAGUCC